CGGCGUGCCUAACACAUGCAAGUCGAACGGAGUCAAGAAGCUUGCUUUUGACUUAGUGGCGGACGGGUGAGUAACGCGUGAGUAACCUGCCUCUGAGAGGGGAAUAACGUUCUGAAAAGAACGCUAAUACCGCAUAACGUAUCGAAGCCGCAUGACUUUGAUACCAAAGAUUUUAUCGCUCGGAGAUGGACUCGCGUCCGAUUAGUUAGUUGGUGAGGUAACGGCUCACCAAGACCGCGAUCGGUAGCCGGACUGAGAGGUUGAUCGGCCACAUUGGGACUGAGACACGGCCCAGACUCCUACGGGAGGCAGCAGUGGGGGAUAUUGCGCAAUGGGGGCAACCCUGACGCCAGCAACGCCGCGUGAAGGAUGAAGGUUUUCGGAUUGUAAACUUCUUUUAUCAGGGACGAAAACUGACGGUACCUGAUGAAUAAGCUCCUGCUAACUACGUGCCAGCAGCCGC
Molecule: ribosomal RNA, 463 nt
Filed under: uncultured bacterium
Lineage: Bacteria
Description: bacterial SSU rRNA
Rfam family: Bacterial small subunit ribosomal RNA
Source: RNAcentral